AUUGAACGCUGGCGGCAGGCCUAACACAUGCAAGUCGAACGGUAACAGGAAGCAGCUUGCUGCUUUGCUGACGAGUGGCGGACGGGUGAGUAAUGUCUGGGAAACUGCCUGAUGGAGGGGGAUAACUACUGGAAACGGUAGCUAAUACCGCAUAACGUCGCAAGACCAAAGAGGGGGACCUUAGGGCCUCUUGCCAUCGGAUGGGCCCAGAUGGGUUUAGCUAGUAGGUGGGGUAACGGCUCACCUAGGCGACGAUCCCUAGCUGGUCUGAGAGGAUGACCAGCCACACUGGAACUGAGACACGGUCCAGACUCCUACGGGAGGCAGCAGUGGGGAAUAUUGCACAAUGGGCGCAAGCCUGAUGCAGCCAUGCCGCGUGUAUGAAGAAGGCCUUCGGGUUGUAAAGUACUUUCAGCGGGGAGGAAGGGAGUAAAGUUAAUACCUUUGCUCAUUGACGUUACCCGCAGAAGAAGCACCGGCUAACUCCGUG
This 490-nucleotide ribosomal RNA is filed under the name uncultured bacterium. RNAcentral's name for it is "partial 16S ribosomal RNA". It matches the Rfam family "Bacterial small subunit ribosomal RNA", at positions 30 to 507 of the family's 1533-position model. The record is from RNAcentral.